UUUGGAACGAUUCAGGAUGUUCAGUGAAUUUUGUCCACUUGAAGGUAAAUGUUGGUGUGCAAAAAAUGUCGUGAGCAAAGGGAUCAAACUUGAGAAACGAGUGGCAAAUAUAUCUUGGAGUGAACCGGAAAACUUCACUUGUCCUCAUAAAUACAUAAAAGAAGGAGAGGAAAAGCCGAACAUUAGUUCUCCACAGUCGUUCUCAAUAGGACAGCACGAAAUUCCGUACAAGCACUUUCUGUAUGGUGGAAAAACUUCAACAUGCUAUGUUCAUAUUAACGUUGGAGUGCCACCAUCCAUCAGCAGAAGAAAUAGUGAAUAUUUUACAGCAGGACUCAACACUGAAGGCGAGAUUAAAUGUAUGAUAAGAUGGUCUGAUCCAAGACCAAAGAUAACUUGGGAUCAACAGAUUGUUAGCAACAAUGAACCUGUCUCGAAUAACUGGAUCCCUUCACAGUAUAAGUCUUCGUUUGAAAAAACAAACGACAAUAUGAAAGUGUUUUAAAGAUACCCGCGACUGCUAAACAAGCUUCAAUAUUGUUCAGAUGUUUUGCUCAAAACAUUCAUGGAAAUGACAGUAGAAUGUUUAGGUUUCUGCGAUUCGGAGAUGAUCCCUUUAAUGUUUUUCCUUCUGGGGAUGUAAUUUUAAAUGAAAACGAGGACUUUAUGGUAAUUUGCA
Molecule: long non-coding RNA, 679 nt
Organism: Xenia sp. Carnegie-2017
Lineage: Eukaryota; Metazoa; Cnidaria; Anthozoa; Malacalcyonacea; Xeniidae
Exons: 4
Source: RefSeq, a predicted model, not a curated record